Long non-coding RNA from Ornithodoros turicata, 1191 nucleotides. RefSeq lists it as uncharacterized. Lineage: Eukaryota; Metazoa; Arthropoda; Arachnida; Ixodida; Argasidae. The transcript has 3 exons. The record is from RefSeq and is a predicted model, not a curated record.
CCAUGCAUGGUGUCCAACAUGGGACGUUCCGUCUUUGCCAAUGCUGGGAGAUGUGUGGCACUUUAACUAAUCUGCUAUUUUAAGUGUAUGCCUGAGUACCACGGCCCGCUGAGUUCCACUUUUCUGGAAUGGAAACUGCACCCUAACAUGGCUAUGCCACGCGCAGUAGAACGGCAGCGCCUGCUGUUCCUGAGAACCCGGCCGAGACAUUGAAACGGCGAAGCAACCCAAGCGGUGCCUGCUCAUUCUACCGACGAAACAAACCUGCAGCUUGGAACUUCCACGUCGCUGGAGCUGCUUACAAUCACAGCUCAUGAUGACGCAGUAGUCCGGAGUCAGACCAGCCUUAUUUCAGUCGAAGAAUCCCGUUCAAUUGAACGCUCCGAUUCCGAGAUGCACUUGUGCAGAACUUGUCUGAAGACUUGCACGAUUAUCAGGGACGCAGCCAACUGGUAUCAUCUCCGGCCCGGUUUCUCGUCAAAGGAUGGCUCAACACCCAUAGGAGAACACCUAGGGGUCGUGUUCCAGUCGAAGGACGCGUACGACAGUUCCCAGGAUCCUUGGACUCAUCACAGACUGUAGCAUAUUGGCGCCAUUCUCUCGCGCGAUCCGGCACUCUUCUCCUGACAGGGAACAUCCAUGGCUGUACGGAUCCUUGGUAAGAACUUUACAGCACCCCUUGACUCUUAACCUGGUGGGAGACGGCGUACACGAAUUAUGGCGAUCCUGACACGUGAGUACGGAAGUUUGCGAAUUCACUUUACGCAUCGUGUCCAAUCCUACUGUCGCAGUCCACAUGUCUGUCAAUCUCUGGCUACUCUACGACAGAGAACAACGUAAACAACGUUUCGUCCACCUACCCAGAGUAGUUGUGCCUGGCCUCCUGGGUAGAAACCUCAUAUUACAAAACAAGCUCGACCUUGACUCGUGCGUAUGCCACUACAAGUACCGUCUAGUAAUAUUCUUCUUUUUCAUGGUGUCUGAGGGCCCCAUGGCCUACUCCUUAAACUACUCCCAAGGCCGCUACCCCAGGGCCAGUGCGAGCAGGGCUCUCCGCUGUCAUGGAGAAGUCCACUGGCUCGGCAAUAGACCACUCUCAGCUAUGGGAGAACGUCUCGUCAAGAGCAUGUUUACGGAAAAGCCCGAUAUACAGACGGCUUUCAUGUGCCACCGGGGUUUGUAGAGGGUUAA